GUCCAAGCAGUAACGUUGAACAUUAAAUGCAAGAUUAAUAUUUGUGUUAAAGAUAACUCAUUAAAUGUUCCGCCUGAGUACUACGAUCGCAAGAUUAAAUUCAAAUAUUUGACGGUUCUUAAUCUCCGUCCGGAGGAGCAUGUGGUUUAAUUCGAUAACCCGCGAGAAACCUUACCUAAUUUGGUUAAAUAUAAUAAUUAAUUUAUUAAUCAGAUGCUGCAUGACUGCCGU
Molecule: ribosomal RNA, 231 nt
Filed under: uncultured bacterium
Lineage: Bacteria
Description: partial 16S ribosomal RNA
Rfam family: Bacterial small subunit ribosomal RNA
Source: RNAcentral